RNAcentral lists this ribosomal RNA (466 nucleotides) under uncultured bacterium. RNAcentral describes it as "partial 16S ribosomal RNA". It matches the Rfam family "Bacterial small subunit ribosomal RNA", at positions 28 to 507 of the family's 1533-position model. The record is from RNAcentral.
GACGAACGCUGGCGGCGCGCCUAACACAUGCAAGUCGAACGAGCGAGAGAGAGCUUGCUUUCUUGAGCGAGUGGCGAACGGGUGAGUAACGCGUGAGGAACCUGCCUCAAAGAGGGGGACAACAGUUGGAAACGACUGCUAAUACCGCAUAAGCCCACGGUGCCGCAUGGCACAGAGGGAAAAGGAGCAAUCCGCUUUGAGAUGGCCUCGCGUCCGAUUAGCUAGUUGGUGAGGUAACGGCCCACCAAGGCGACGAUCGGUAGCCGGACUGAGAGGUUGAACGGCCACAUUGGGACUGAGACACGGCCCAGACUCCUACGGGAGGCAGCAGUGGGGAAUAUUGCACAAUGGGGGAAACCCUGAUGCAGCGACGCCGCGUGGAGGAAGAAGGUCUUCGGAUUGUAAACUCCUGUUGUUGGGGAAGAUAAUGACGGUACCCAACAAGGAAGUGACGGCUAACUACGUG